RNAcentral lists this ribosomal RNA (253 nucleotides) under uncultured bacterium. RNAcentral describes it as "partial 16S ribosomal RNA". It matches the Rfam family "Bacterial small subunit ribosomal RNA", at positions 524 to 776 of the family's 1533-position model. The record is from RNAcentral.
UACGUAGGGGGCUAGCGUUGUCCGGAAUCAUUGGGCGUAAAGCGCGCGUAGGUGGCCCAGUAAGUCCGUUGUGAAAGUCAAAGGCUCAACCUUUGAAUGCCGAUGGAUACUGGCAAGCUAGAGUGCGGUAGAGGGUAGUGGAAUUCCCGGUGUAGCGGUGAAAUGCGUAGAGAUCGGGAGGAACACCAGUGGCGAAGGCGGCUACCUGGACCAGCACUGACACUGAGGCACGAAAGCGUGGGGAGCAAACAGG